GGGAACUGAAACAUCUAAGUACCCCGAGGAAGAGAAAUCAACCGAGAUUCCGAAAGUAGCGGCGAGCGAAAUUGGAUUAGCCCAAACCAGUAUUGUUACGGCAAUGCUGGGGUUGUAGGACCACAAUAUUCGAGGCAAAAUGAAUUAGAACAGUUUGGAAAGACUGACCAAAGAGGGUGAUAGUCCCGUAUAAGUAAGUGAUGUUAAGAUAGUGGUAUCCUGAGUAGUGCGGGACACGUGUAAUCCUGUAUGAAUCCACCGGGACCAUCCGGUAAGGCUAAAUACUAGUCAGUAACCGAUAGUGAACGAGUACGGUGACGGAAAGGCGAAAAGAACAGUGAGAAGCUGAGUGAAAUAGAACCUGAAACCGUAUGCUUACAAUCAGUCAGAGCCUGAUACGUGGAGACUUCGGUCACCACGUCGGGUGAUGGCGUGCCUUUUGGAUAAUGAGCCAACGAGUUACUUUCAGUAGCGAGGUUAAGGCAGUAACAGCCGUAGCCGAAGCGAAAGCGAGUCUGAAUAGGGCGUUUAGUUAGUGGGGGUAGACGCGAAACCCGGUGAUCUACCCAUGGGCAGGUUGAAGUUCCGAUAGUCUCGGAAUGGAGGACCGAACCGAUAUACGUUGAAAAGUGUUCGGAUGACCUGUGGGUAGGGGUGAAAGGCCAAUCAAACUUGGCGAUAGCCGGUUUUUCACGAAAAGUAUUUAAGUACUACGUUACUAAAGUAAGUUAUAUGUAUAGUAACAAACUAAACAAAGGGAUCCAUAAAAUUUACUGAGUUUAAUUUAACUUCGAAUUACAACUUCAUUUUAGUAAUAGCCAGUCUUUGGGCGAUAAGGUUCCAAGACAAAAGGGUAACAACCCAGAUCGUAUAUUAAGAUCUUUAAAUUAUAACUUAGUGGGGAAGGUUUAUAUUAAAUCAAAUAAAUUUGGAUAGGCUUAGAAGCAGCUUUUCAUUGGAGAAAGCGUUUUAGCUCAUUAUUCUUUUAAUGUAAACCAAAAAAUACUCGAGGCUCCAAGUUAUAUAUCGAAAUAGCGAAUCAAUUUUUUAUAUUUGAUGGUAGUGAAACGUUCUGUACUUAAUUUUUAAUAAUGUAAAUUUUAAAAAUCUAAUCAGAAGUGCUAAUGCUGACAUGAGUAACGAAAACUACGUUAAAAUCGUAGUCGCCUAUUGUUCAAGGUUUUCAACGUAAUUUUAAAUUCGUUGACUUAGUCGGUUCUUAAAAUUAUGGUAAAAACUUAUAAUUGAUAGAAAUUUUUUACCAGUUAUCUACACUUUUUAGUGUGUAAAAAUUUAGUAUUAUAUGUAUUUUUAAUGGUUAAAAUAUUAAAUAAUUAUAAAUUUCAGGAAAAAUGAUAACGUAAUUGACCGUACCUAAACCGACACAGGUGAACUUGUGAAAUACACAAAGGUGAAUGAGUAAAUUAAAUUGAAGGAACUCGGCAAAUUAACUCUGUAAGUUCGCAAUAAAGAGUACCAAUAAAUAUUUUAUUGGUGUCACAAAAUAGAAAGUAACGACUGGUUAUCAAAACCACAGGACUCUGCAAAUUAGUUAAUAAGAUGUAUAGAGUCUGACACCUGCCCGGUGCUUGAAGGUGAUAAAUGCAAGUUAUUGCUUACAUUGUAAUCCCAAGUAAACGGCGGUUCUAACAAUAAGAAUCCUUAGGUAGCGAAAUUCCUUGACGGGUAAGUUCCGUCCUGCAUGAAUGGUGUCACGAUUGCUUUACUGUCUCCAAUUUAACCUCAGUGAAAUUACAUAGCCUAUGAAAAUGUGGGUAACCUGCAGUAAGACGGAAAGACCCUAGAUCCUUUACUUUAGCUUUAUAUUGUAAGAAUCAAUAUUUUAUGUAGAAUAAAUGGAAGUAAUAAAAAUACAUAAUUGAAAUACCAUUUUUCAUAUUGCGUUCUUUCUAAAUUUAUCGUAAGUGUAAUGAUAGUAUAAAGUAGAAAGUUUACUUGGGACGAGUACCUCCUAAAAUGUAACGGAGGUGUACAAAGAUAAAUUACAGUUGUUUUAUUAAACAAUUAAGCGUAUAAUGGCAAUAAAUUUGUUUGACAGUUAGAUUGAUAAAUCGUACUGGGACGUAAGUCAGUCAUAGUGAUCCGGUACUAAUGUGUGGAAAUUGUAUCGCUCAACAAAUAAAAGGAACUCUAGGGAUAACAGAUUCAUCAUGGUUGAGAGCUCUUAUUAAUGCCAUGGUUUGAUACCUCGAUGUCGACUCAUCUUAUCCUGGAAUUGAAGUAGAUUCCAAGGGUCUAGUUGUUCGCUAGUGAAGAAGGUACGUGAGUUGGGUUCAGAACGUCGUGAGACAG
Molecule: ribosomal RNA, 2313 nt
Filed under: Camontagnea oxyclada
Lineage: Eukaryota; Rhodophyta; Florideophyceae; Palmariales; Rhodothamniellaceae
Description: bacterial LSU rRNA
Rfam family: Bacterial large subunit ribosomal RNA
Source: RNAcentral